ACCUCGUUUUUCACCGAAAACUUUGUGCACGCACAUAGAAUGUCCGGGUAUACAUGCGGAAUUUUUGUUCGGAAUUUUUUAAUUUUUCAAAAUGUGUAUUAGACAAUGGGUGCAUAUGCACCUAGGAGCCAUAGCCAAUUUCCGUUCAUUUCAUUCCUUCUUUCACCUUCUUCCUCCUUCUACCCUAACAACGCCGCCAUGGAGGAGAACUCAGAUCCAAAAUAGAAGAACAAGGAACUGAAGAAGAAUUUUUUUCCCAUUUGUUGUUUUCCUUUCUUGAGAUCAAUUUGGGCCAGGAAAAAAAGGUUUAGUUCAACUUUUUCAGAUCUUGAAAUAAAAAAUAUAUAGGGUAAUCCCUUGAAUUUCACACAUUAUUAGACCAAUAAAAUCAUUCACAACGACCCUAAAGACACAAUCUAAUUCUGAAACUAAAAAAAAGACAGAGAUGUUUUAACAUCCUAAGUACAAAAACAGUUACUGAAUUCAGAAGACUGAAAUUUUUUGUAGAGUUGAAUGAAUUAUAUGGUAACUUGUUACCCUUCCUAAGAACAAAAGCAUAGACUGAAACUAACAAAAGACAGGGAAACCUGUUCAACAAAAGACAAAAUAAAUAACUAGAACUAAAAUAAACAUAAAUGUUUUCAAGAGUAGAAAUGAUUUAUCGAGUAGAAUGAAUAAUAGGGAGACUAGUUACCCUACUUAAAACAAAAUCCAGACUGAAACUAAAUAGACAGAAAUGUUUUCUAGAUUUGAAUGAAUUAGAGGGAAACCUGUUACCACCUAAAGAAAAAAAAUCAGUAACUGAAACUAAAUAGUAUAGCUACAAGAGGUGCUUACAUGAAUAGUGGCCAAAUUUCCAGAAAGUGCAAAGCACAAAAUUGCUCCAAUGAAGUGCUCGCAAGCACACUGCAAAAAGAAAGCAAAAUUAUGCAACUCAACAAUGAAAAACAUUUGCAAAACAAAGCAAUGAUAGAAACUAGAGAAAUAAUAUCAUUUUACAUUUUUUUACCUGUUAUUGUAGAAAUGUUAUCAUUUUUAUUUGUGUCCCACUAAACCAUAUGUACUUGCAUUGCUUAAUUUGCAGAUUCCAGAUUUUGCAAAAACAAGGGACAAACAAGUAGCAGCAUGACGUCAAGAUUUGCAUGAUCAGACAAAGGUAAUUUUUGCAUGCAGAACCUCAAACACCUGCUAUGAAAACAAAGGCAUACUAUCAUGUGCAUAAGUUGCUUCGUCGGAUUUUUUGUAAACCCUGUUCAAGAAUUCGUCCGAUUAACCAGCUAACUUCCCAAUUAAUUCCUACUCAUAGGGUUACCGAGUAGCCAAUAAACUGACAAAUGGCCGAUUAACUUGCCGAUUAGCCUAUUAAUCCCUUACUUGCCAGCCAACCGAGCAGCUACCAGUUAACGAUUUCCUCAACAAUAAUGAAAAGUAAAAAUUGCUUGGUCAAAUAACAAAAGUUGUACACAUUGGUCACCAGUGAGGACAACGUCAGCAUGUAGGAAGACCACAACAAAGCAUGGUAAGUAAACACUUUGCAUUGAGGCACAUUAUACUUUCAUUUAGGCGAAACAUCAUUUUUUUUGCAGGUGCCUAAAAAUUGAGAAAAAGCAUACAAGCAAGUGCAUUAUAAAAAAAAUGCAUUCGACCAAAGCAUUCAGGACACACUUCUUGCACAUAAGAAUGGCGAGCAAGAAGGUCAAGAUUACAUAGCAAUGCACAAUGAGCUCACCAAAGAGAAUGUAAGUCAAGUUUAAGAUGGAAAACACAAUUAUCAACUAAUGUAUGAGCAAGGACAAGCAGGGCUUCGGUCUUACACAACACUAAUGCAACAAAUGACUGUCAUGAUCCAUCUUUAGAGUGACGACAUGGGCCUAUUCAAAGCUUCACUUCCCUGUUACAAGGAGGCUUAUUAUCACAGGAGGACCAUUGGAUGGCAUGACUACCAACAAUAGAACACUAUCACAAAGAAGAAACUCAGAAUGCAGAAGAAGCCACCAGAAAUGAUCAGUGGGAAAACAAUUCUAUACCUGAAGAAGAAGAUUUUGAAGUAGAUUGUGAUGAAGAACAGUCUGGUCCUGAUGAUGAUACCGGUGAAUCUGAAAGUGGUGGCAAUGAAAGUGAUGCGGGGGAAGAGUACGUGGAAGACAUUGAAACUGGUGGCAAUGAAAGUGAUGCAGAGGAAUAGUAUAUGCAAAACAAUGCAACUGAUGGUCAUAUGGAUAGAGAAUAUCUUGAUUUAAAUUUGCAACAAACAUAGCUAAAUUGGAACAAUAUUGAUUCACUCAGAGAACAAAAAAUAUAUUAUGUCGACUACACAAA
Long non-coding RNA from Aegilops tauschii subsp. strangulata, 2319 nucleotides. RefSeq lists it as uncharacterized. The record is from RefSeq and is a predicted model, not a curated record. Lineage: Eukaryota; Viridiplantae; Streptophyta; Magnoliopsida; Poales; Poaceae.